AUAUCACACUGAAAACACCAGUUCUUGUUUGAUCACUGAAGUUAAGCAACAUUGAGCCAAAUUAGUACUUAGAUGGGGUACUGCUUGGGAAC
Molecule: non-coding RNA, 92 nt
Organism: Acanthosepion pharaonis
Lineage: Eukaryota; Metazoa; Mollusca; Cephalopoda; Sepiida; Sepiidae
Source: the annotation of a GenBank genome assembly